RNAcentral lists this ribosomal RNA (450 nucleotides) under uncultured bacterium. RNAcentral's name for it is "partial 16S ribosomal RNA". It matches the Rfam family "Bacterial small subunit ribosomal RNA", at positions 354 to 796 of the family's 1533-position model. The record is from RNAcentral.
GUGGGGAAUCUUCCGCAAUGGACGAAAGUCUGACGGAGCAACGCCGCGUGAGUGAAGAAGGUUUUCGGAUCGUAAAGCUCUUUCGUUAGGGACGAACGUGCUCUUUGUGAAUAAUGAGGAGUAAUGACGGUACCUAAAUAAGAAGCCACGGCUAACUACGUGCCAGCAGCCGCGGUAAUACGUAGGUGGCAAGCGUUGUCCGGAAUUAUUGGGCGUAAAGCGCGCGCAGGCGGGAUAUCAAGUCUGUCUUAAAAGUGCGAGGCUCAACCUCGUGAGGGGACAGAAACUGGUAUUCUUGAGGGUCGGAGAGGAAAGUGGAAUUCCAAGUGUAGCGGUGAAAUGCGUAGAGAUUUGGAAGAACACCAGUGGCGAAGGCGACUUUCUGGACGAUGUCUGACGCUGAGGCGCGAAAGCUAGGGGAGCGAACGGGAUUAGAUACCCGAGUAGUCC